CCUACGGGCGGCUGCAGUGAGGAAUAUUGGUCAAUGGGCGAGAGCCUGAACCAGCCAAGUAGCGUGCAGGAUGACGGCCCUAUGGGUUGUAAACUGCUUUUAUACAGGAAUAAAGUUAGCCACGUGUGGUUAUUUGUAGGUACUGUAUGAAUAAGGACCGGCUAAUUCCGUGCCAGCAGCCGCGGUAAUACGGAAGGUCCAGGCGUUAUCCGGAUUUAUUGGGUUUAAAGGGAGCGUAGGCCGUCUGUUAAGCGUGUUGUGAAAUGUAGAUGCUCAACAUCUGAAUUGCAGCGCGAACUGGCAGACUUGAGUGUGCGCAACGUAGGCGGAAUUCGUGGUGUAGCGGUGAAAUGCUUAGAUAUCACGAAGAACUCCAAUUGCGAAGGCAGCUUACGGGAGCACAACUGACGCUGAAGCUCGAAAGUGCGGGUAUCGAACAGGAUUAGAUACCCCUGUAGUC
This 460-nucleotide ribosomal RNA is filed under the name uncultured Prevotella sp. RNAcentral's name for it is "bacterial SSU rRNA". It matches the Rfam family "Bacterial small subunit ribosomal RNA", at positions 338 to 795 of the family's 1533-position model. The record is from RNAcentral. Lineage: Bacteria; Pseudomonadati; Bacteroidota; Bacteroidia; Bacteroidales; Prevotellaceae.